RNAcentral lists this long non-coding RNA (5303 nucleotides) under Ananas comosus (pineapple). RNAcentral's name for it is "long non-coding RNA (ACOM_LNC021483)". The record is from RNAcentral. Lineage: Eukaryota; Viridiplantae; Streptophyta; Magnoliopsida; Poales; Bromeliaceae.
AUUUAAAAAAUAAGCUUUGUAGAGAGUGUAUAAUAUAUUUGUAAGGUACUAUUGCCUUCUCUAGCAUUUUUAGUAAAAAAAAAAAAAAAAUUCCUUAACUAUCUUCUUAAAAAAUAUUUCUAUCUAACUCUAUUUUUAUAAUUAGAAAAAAAUAAGUAAUAUUUUAUAUAGAUAGAAUAUAUUAAUGUGGGAGAGUUUAUCUUUUUUCUCUCCUCCUAUUUCCAAAUAUUCUCCUCUUUUCUCUCUCUCUCUCCUUCAUCUCCUCCAACACAUGUAUCUCUUUCUUUUCAUUCUCAGUCUCAGGCACCUUUUCUCUCCUCACCACCAACACAUGCACUUUCUCUCUCCCACCUAACACUCUCUCCUCUCUCUCUUCUUCAAUAUAUAAUAAUAAUUUUAUUAUAAUAUAUAAUAAAAAUUUAUUAUUUAAUAGAUAAAUAGAUUGUACUAUUUAUUAAAAAAUUUUUUUUUGUUUUAUUACUAUAUUAAUCAAAUGUACUAAUAUUUAUUUGCUCUAUAUAUUAUAUAUUAUUUAUAUAUUAUUAUAAUAUAUAUAAGGUAGGGUUACGUAGUAUUUUUAAUGAAUAUAGAGCCCCUUUCGGGUAUCCAUAAGUUUUCAUCCGUUAGUAUGAAUAAAAUAUGUGUGGGAUGAAAGGGUUACGUUAUGGUUGAUAAGGGAUCCUAGGCGUUUGAGUUGUUGGUUGGUUGAAUAGUAUAAUCUAACGAGUGAAAAUGGUUAAAGGAUAGAUCUAAUGGUCAAAAACUUAUAAGUACAAGAGGCUCUAUACUCAUAAGAGUAUAGUAGCCGGACUCAUAUAUAUAUAUAUAUAUAUAUAUAUAUAUAUAUAUAUAUAAUAUUAUUAAACAUUCGAUAAAAAUACACACUCAAAAUAUGUUAUGAUUAUACAUUAUAUUACAUAAAAAUAAAAGUGAUAUAACUAUAUAUUAGAUAUGAUAUAAAGUUGAUUAUGUUUGACAUAAUAUUUGAUUUGACUACACAUUUGACAUGAUAUAAAAAUAAUACGAUUAUAUAUUAUAUAAAAAUAAAAAUAAUAUAACUGUACAUUAAAUAUGAUAUAAAGUUGACUACACUGAUAUAAAAUUUGGCUUGACUAUACACUGAAUUUAAUUAUAAAACUGACAUGACCAUAUUUAACAUAAAGUUGAUUAUUUUAUAUUAACAUUUGACUUGACUACAUAUUUGAUAUGAAAUAAAAAUAAUACGACUAUUCAUUAUGCAAAAAUAAAAUGGAUAUAACUACAAAUUAGAUAUGAUAUAAAGUUGACUAUACUUGAUAUAAAAUUUGACUUGACUACACAAUUAAUUUAAUCAUAAAAUUGACAUGACUAUAUUGACAUUAAAGUUGACUAUACUUGAUAUAAAUUUUUAUUUAACUAUAUAAUUGACAUAAUUAUAGAGUUGAUAUGACAAUACAUUGCGUAAAACUCUAGAGAUGCUACGACUAUAACCUACAAAUUUUUAUUUUAAUAUUUAAAAAAUCAAACUUCACUAUAAAUAGUUAAACUUUGUUAAUUCCAACCCCACUAUCAUCCUUCUCUUCUUUAUACACUAUACAAGGUAGCGUUUGGUUCGGGAACAAAGGGGGGAAUAAGCUCUUGUUCCCCCUUUUGUUCCCAAACGGUAUGUUUGGUUCCCGGGAACAGUAGUUUCCGGAAAUCUGAAACAAGCUGGUAUACGGCUGGAACUCCUGUUCCAUCUGUUUCCUGGAACAAGCUUGUUCCUUAAUGAGAAUAAGAUUAAAUAAAAUCUAAAUUUAAUUUUAAUGACAGUAAAUUAUUAAUUAAUCUAAUUAAUAUAUUUAAAUCAGUAUUUAUUGCUUUAAUAAUUAAAUAAUUAAAUAAUUUAUUAUUUAUAAUUAAUGAUUAAUAAUUAGAUAAUUAUUAUUAUUAAUUUAUUAUUUAUAACUAAUUAUUAAUAAUUAAUAUUCAUGAUUAUUUAUUAAUAAUUAUUAAUAAUUAUUAUUCUUAAUGAUAAUCGAUAUUAUUAUUAAUUUAUUAUUUAUAAUUAAUUAUUAAUAAUUAAUAAUAAUUAUUAUUAUUUGUUAAUAAUUAUUAAUAAUUAUUAUUCUUAAUAAUUAGAUAAUCGAUAUUAUUAUUAAUUUAUUAUUUAAAAUAAUUAUUUAAUAAUUAUUAUUAUUUAUUAAUAAUAUUAAUAUAAUUAUUAUAAAUAAUUAGAUAAUCAAUAUUAUUAUUAUUUUAUUAUUUAUAAUUAAUUAUAUGAUAAUAAUAAUUCCUUUUAUUUAUUAAAAUUAUUAUUAAUGAUAACUAUUAUUAUUAAUUAGAUAAUCAAUAUUUUAUUUUAUAUUUUAAUUAUUAUUAAAUAAUAUAAUAUUAUUAUUUAUAAUUAAUUAUUAAUAAUUAAUUUUUUAUUUAUUUUUAAGUAAUAUUUUGAUGUUAACUAAUUACAUAAUAUAAUUUUAAUUUCAAAUUAUAACUAUUAUUCCUCUCGUUCCAAUCUAACCAUCCAAACACUAUUUACCAUAUUCCUAGGAACAACUCAAUUUUCAUCCAAACGCAAAAUUGGUCUAGUUCCUGCUUAUACCUGAACUUGUACCUAUCCCUGGAACUAGCAAUUCUUACUUAUACAUGAACCAAAUGCAGCCAUUACUCAUCUCUCUUCCACUUCUCUAAUUUUCACUACAUAUCUUAUUUAUAUAAUCUAAAGGGUUCCAAAAGUACCAGUAGUAAGUAAUAAUAAAAAAUUUAUAAUUUAGUAACAAUACUAUUAUUAUUAUUAAUAAAUAAAUAUUUUAUUAAUAUUAUAAUAAAAAUUAAUUAUUAUUAAUAUUGAAGAGAGAGAGAGAUAGAGGUGUGGUUGGGGAGGAGAGAGAGAGGAAGAGAGUGAGAAGAUGUCUUGGGAAAUGUGAGAGCAGAGAGAAAAAGACAAUCUCCCCCACUUAACAAAUUAAUCUAUAUAAAAGUUAUUAACUUUUUUUUUUUUUCUAACCUAUAAAAAUGACACUAAAUUAGAAAUAUUUUUUGAAAAAAAGGCUAGAUAGUUUUUUUUUUUUUUUUUUUCUAAAGAGGCCAGGGAAGGCAAUAGUUUAUAUAUAAGUUAUAUAGAGUCGAAUAUGAAUUAGGAGUCUAUCAAAUAUACUCUUAUGGGUACGAUCGCUCUCGUACUCAUAAAUUGCUUUGGAUGAUAGAGCUUCCGAAUCAACGAUCAACACCGUUAAACGCUAUCUAUAGCAUUUAAAACGUCUAGAAAUCAAAUUUUAUAAUUUUUUGACAUUAUUUACCUUACGAUCAAAAGGUCACAAAAUUAAUAAUUUUUAACGGCCGGUAUGAAAUAUUUGCUAGUUUAACGGUAUAAAAAAAUCGAAAUCGAUUGAAUUUUUGAUAGAAAAUUCUAUUUACUACAUAUAUAAAGAUCAAUAACUCCGAUCUUAAAUUGAGGAUCUGAUCAUUCAUUUUUAAGACGUCGUUUGAUUUUGACCGUUUAUUUUAUACCCGCUUGAUGAACUUUAUUAUAAUUUCGAAAAAUUACGAAAUUUAUUUUCUAAAAGUUUCAAAUACUCUAUAUCAUAUUAACAGAGUGGAUCGUCGAUUAGGAAGCUCCAUCAUCGAAAACAAUUUAUGAAUAUAAAGAGCUCUAUACUUAUAAGAAUAUAAUAGUCCUAGUCUAUAAAUUUGUUGAUCUCAGUUUAUGUUCGACCCGUUUAUUUUAUUGUUUUCGUAUUAAUUAAUAAUAAUACCGUUGAAAGCUUUAUACGUGGGCCCCGCACACGUGUAACCCACUCGGGAUACGCACGUGCUACACCGCACACCCGAUUCCCCUGUUUGACUCCUCGUAAAAGAUUCAUGGAAUUUUUUUUCUUUUUUUUUGGGUUUCACCGUGUUUGUAUUUUCAAAAAAAAAAAAAAGAAAAAAAUAAAAAUAAUAGCUUUUUAAAACCUUUAGGAAAAAAAAUUCUAUAAAAAAAUUUGCUUUUUUAUUUUCAGAUUCCCACUUUUGGUUGCACCCUGUUUUCUGUUUUCUACCUGCUUAGCUUUAAAAAUAAUUAAUUUUUUUCAUUUUUUAGAUUUCAUAAAGAGUUAAUAUUUUUAUUUUUUGAAAAGAGAAUUAGAAACCAAAAGAAAUAAUUUUUCACGAAAUCUAAAAAACAACAAAGCUAUUUUUAAAAAAAAGGAUAAACUUCAAAUACCAUUCUUGUGGUUUCGCAUUUUCUCACUUUAAUUUAUGUACUUUAAAGUGUAUCAAAUUACUGGUUUUUGGUUUUAUUUUUUAACUUUUCGAUAGUUUCUCCGUCAAUAUUUCGUUAAAUUUUAUACAAAAAACUUCAGAUACUCCACAUAACUUUAUCGAAUAUUCACUUUAGUACUUUUUAGUUUUAACUUUGUCACUAAUUUAACGAAAAAAAAUUAGUGAAAUAAAUAAUAAAAAAAGAAAAAUAAAAUUACUGGGUACUAAAUUGAUAUACUUUAAACGACAUGGUACUAAAGUGAAAAAGUACGAAACCAAAUGAUUCUUAUUCCAAGUUUUUCCUUUUUUAUCUAUUAUUACAAACCAUUCCCAACAUGUACAUCCAAAAACCCCUUUUAUAUAAAACCUGCUCUCUUAAUUUGCACAUCAUUCUCUCUUUCUCUUCUUCAUUUCUUAUUUCUUAGUUCUAAGUUCUAAGAACAGCGACGGCGGCGUCGACGACGGUACAGAAAAGAAAGAAAAAAAGAAACAGAAAAGAGUCAGAUAAAAGAGAUUAGAGAGACAGACAGAGAUUGAUUCGACCGCGAUUUGAAUUCAAACCCAACUCAAUACAGUAUACGAAAAGGGUCAGAUCCUCUUUUUUUUUUUUACCUUUUUAUUUUCUCAUGAAAAAAUUAUUACAUGCGUGUACACUUGUAAGUAAAAUUUUAUUUAGGAUGUGAAAAAUAAAAUGAAUACGAUAAACAAUUUGUCAACUUUUAUAGAAAAAACUUAAAAUACCACUCCUGUGAUUUCGCACUUUUUCACUUUCGCACCCUGUGAUUUUAUUUUUCUCUCAUUAUUAUUCUUUUCGCUAAUUUUUUUUUCAUUAAAUCAGUAAUAAAAUUAAAACUAAAGAAUACUAAAAUAAAUAUUUGAUAAAAAUAGGUGGGAUAUCUGAAGUUUUUUGUAUACGAUUUAACGAAAUGUUAAUAGUGGAACUGACAAAAAGAAAAAAAUAAAAUCAUGAUACAUUUUAAAUUUUAUGAUACUAAAGUGAGAAAGUACGAAACUACAGAGCUAGUAUUUGAAGUUCACCCUUUUUUAUAUGUUUAUAGCAGAUGUCGUAUAGUAAAUGAUUUUUAAAUAUAUUUUUAUAA